This 402-nucleotide ribosomal RNA is filed under the name uncultured bacterium. RNAcentral's name for it is "bacterial SSU rRNA". It matches the Rfam family "Bacterial small subunit ribosomal RNA", at positions 354 to 773 of the family's 1533-position model. The record is from RNAcentral.
GUGGGGAAUCUUGCACAAUGGAGGAAACUCUGAUGCAGCGACGCCGCGUGAGCGAUGAAGCCCCUCGGGGUGUAAGGCUCUUUCGACGGGAACGAUAAUGACGGUACCCGGAGAAGAAGCUGCGGCUAACUACGUGCCAGCAGCCGCGGUAAUACGUAGGCAGCAAGCGUUGUUCGGAAUUACUGGGCGUAAAGAGUGUGUAGGCGGUGCUCUAAGUUCGGUGUGAAAUCUCCCGGCUUAACUGGGAGGGUGCGCCGGAAACUGGAGUGCUUGAGCGCGGGAGAGGAAAGCGGAAUUCCUGGUGUAGCGGUGAAAUGCGUAGAUAUCAGGAGGAACACCUGUGGUGUAGACGGCUUUCUGGACCGUAGCUGACGCUGAGACACGAAAGCGUGGGUAGCAAAC